UGAGGAAUAUUGGUCAAUGGACGGAAGUCUGAACCAGCCAAGUAGCGUGAAGGAUGAAGGUUCUAUGGAUUGUAAACUUCUUUUAUACGGGAAUAAAAAACUCUACGUGUAGGGUCUUGUAUGUACCGUAUGAAUAAGCAUCGGCUAACUCCGUGCCAGCAGCCGCGGUAAUACGGAGGAUGCGAGCGUUAUCCGGAUUUAUUGGGUUUAAAGGGAGCGCAGACGGUAUGUUAAGUCAGCUGUGAAAGUUUGGGGCUCAACCUUAAAAUUGCAGUUGAAACUGGCGUACUUGAGUGCGGUUGAGGUAGGCGGAAUUCGUGGUGUAGCGGUGAAAUGCUUAGAUAUCACGAAGAACUCCGAUUGCGAAGGCAGCCUACUAAGCCGUAACUGACGUUCAUGCUCGAAAGUGUGGGUAUCAAAC
Molecule: ribosomal RNA, 421 nt
Filed under: uncultured Bacteroides sp.
Lineage: Bacteria; Pseudomonadati; Bacteroidota; Bacteroidia; Bacteroidales; Bacteroidaceae
Description: bacterial SSU rRNA
Rfam family: Bacterial small subunit ribosomal RNA
Source: RNAcentral